GAAAUGCGAUAAGUAGUGUGAAUUGCAGAAUUCAGUGAAUCAUCGAAUCUUUGAACGCACAUUGCGCCCCUUGGUAUUCCAUGGGGCAUGCCUGUUCGAGCGUCAUUUGUACCCUCAAGCUCUGCUUGUUGUUGGGUGUUUGUCCCCGUCUCCGCGCGUGGACUCGCCCCAAAGUGAUUGGCAGCCGGCGUACUGGUCCCGGAGCGCAGCACAUGUCGCGCAAACGAGUGCCUUGGUACGGCGGCGUCCAUAAGCCCCUCUCUCACGCUCUUGACCUCGGAUCAGGUAGGGAUACCCGCUGAACUUAAGC
This 310-nucleotide unclassified non-coding RNA is filed under the name plant metagenome. RNAcentral describes it as "partial contains 5.8S ribosomal RNA, internal transcribed spacer 2, and large subunit ribosomal RNA". The stretch from base 1 to 105 matches the Rfam family "5.8S ribosomal RNA", at positions 50 to 154 of the family's 154-position model. The record is from RNAcentral.